GAUGAACGCUGGCGGCGUGCCUAACACAUGCAAGUCGAACGGAAGAUUAUCGCUGAUGAAGCUUCGGCAGAAUCUUGAUGAUCUUUAGUGGCGGACGGGUGAGUAACGCGUGGGCAACCUGCCUCGUACUGGGGGAUAACAGCUGGAAACGACUGUUAAUACCGCAUAAGCGCACGGUGUCGCAUGACACAGUGUGAAAAACUCCGGUGGUACGAGAUGGGCCCGCGUCAGAUUAGCCAGUUGGUGGGGUAACGGCCUACCAAAGCAACGAUCUGUAGCCGGACUGAGAGGUCGGACGGCCACAUUGGGACUGAGACACGGCCCAAACUCCUACGGGAGGCAGCAGUGGGGGAUAUUGCACAAUGGGCGAAAGCCUGAUGCAGCGACGCCGCGUGAGUGAAGAAGUAUUUCGGUAUGUAAAGCUCUAUCAGCAGGGAAAGAAAGACCCAUUAAGGGAGAUGACGG
This 465-nucleotide ribosomal RNA is filed under the name bacterium YSD3003. RNAcentral describes it as "bacterial SSU rRNA". It matches the Rfam family "Bacterial small subunit ribosomal RNA", at positions 28 to 475 of the family's 1533-position model. The record is from RNAcentral.